GGGGCAGAAGGAAUUCCUGGUGUAGCGGUGAAAUGCGUAGAUAUCAGGAAGAACACCGGUGGCGAAAGCGUUCUGCUAGUCCGAGACUGACACUGAGGGACGAAAGCUAGGGGAGCGAAUGGGAUUAGAUACCCCAGUAGUCCUAGCCGUAAACGAUGGAUACUAGGCGUGGCUUGUAUCGACCCGAGCCGUGCCGGAGCUAACGCGUUAAGUAUCCCGCCUGGGGAGUACGCACGCAAGUGUGAAACUCAAAGGAAUUGACGGGGGCCCGCACAAGCGGUGGAGUAUGUGGUUUAAUUCGAUGCAACGCGAAGAACCUUACCAAGACUUGACAUCCUGCGAAUCCUGCUGAAAGGUGGGAGUGCCUUCGGGAGCGCAGAGACAGGUGGUGCAUGGCUGUCGUCAGCUCGUGUCGUGAGAUGUUGGGUUAAGUCCCGCAACGAGCGCAACCCUCGUUUUUAGUUGCCAGCAUUAAGAUGGGCACUCUAGAGAGACUGCCGGUGACAAACCGGAGGAAGGUGGGGGAUGACGUCAAGUCAGCAUGCCCCUUACGUCUUGGGCUACACACGUACUACAAUGCUACGGACAAAGGGCAGCAAGCUAGCGAUAGCAAGCAAAUCUCAGAAACCGUAGCUCAGUUCAGAUCGAAGGCUGCAACUCGCCUUCGUGAAGGAGGAAUCGCUAGUAAUUGCAGGUC
This 697-nucleotide ribosomal RNA is filed under the name Anabaena sp. BTA650. RNAcentral's name for it is "bacterial SSU rRNA". It matches the Rfam family "Bacterial small subunit ribosomal RNA", at positions 654 to 1350 of the family's 1533-position model. The record is from RNAcentral. Lineage: Bacteria; Bacillati; Cyanobacteriota; Cyanophyceae; Nostocales; Nostocaceae.